This 72-nucleotide transfer RNA is filed under the name Gemmatimonadaceae bacterium. It matches the Rfam family "tRNA". From Rfam's summary of the family: Transfer RNA (tRNA) molecules are approximately 80 nucleotides in length. Their secondary structure includes four short double-helical elements and three loops (D, anti-codon, and T loops). RNAcentral also lists the same sequence under 3 other names. The record is from Rfam by way of RNAcentral. Lineage: Bacteria; Pseudomonadati; Gemmatimonadota; Gemmatimonadia; Gemmatimonadales; Gemmatimonadaceae.
GCCACAGUAGCUCAGGGGUAGAGCACUCGAUUCGUAAUCGAGCGGUCGUGAGUUCAAUUCUCACCUGUGGCU